UUCUGGCCUGAAAAUGAGUGUGCGUAAGGGGCUAGGCGACGACGCUGGUGAGGCGUUCUCAAAGGCAUGAAAGGCGUGAAAGGCUUCCUCCAAGGCGCGAAAGGCGUACGCGCAGAAAAAAAUGUGAAGUGACAUCGUUUUGAAACAGAAUGGGUUUAAAGCUGUCUAGGUCGCGACUGCUAGCCCGAUUUCGAUUUCAGCCCCGAUUUCAGCCCUCUGCCCCUCUCUGUUCGCAAAUUCGAUCCCUAAGUCCCUAACCCAGAGUUCGAGUUAGGAGUUCGAUUUCAGCCCGAUUUCAGCCCUCUGCCCCUCUCUACGCAGCAGUCAAUUUGAGCUUGAUUGGAGGUCGAUUCGGAACAGGCCAUUUGAACUUCUGAAGGUAUGAUUCCUGAUUUCCCGUCUAUAUUUACUUGGGUUUGAGUUGUUCUUGUCUAGACAAUCAUAUAUGUCCAGCAACCCCAUUAAUUUGGUUGCAAUAGUUUAUUUUGUGAUCCCAUUGGCUCUGUUCUGGGUCCUCUUUUGA
RNAcentral lists this long non-coding RNA (523 nucleotides) under Rosa chinensis. RNAcentral describes it as "sRNA RchiOBHm_Chr5g0077991". Lineage: Eukaryota; Viridiplantae; Streptophyta; Magnoliopsida; Rosales; Rosaceae. The record is from RNAcentral.